Molecule: ribosomal RNA, 771 nt
Filed under: uncultured Neocallimastigales
Lineage: Eukaryota; Fungi; Neocallimastigomycota; Neocallimastigomycetes; Neocallimastigales
Description: partial large subunit ribosomal RNA
Rfam family: Eukaryotic large subunit ribosomal RNA (bases 4-661)
Source: RNAcentral
UCAGACGAUGCGUCAUGCAUAUCAAUAAGCGGAGGAAAAGAAACUAACAAGGAUUCCCUCAGUAACGGCGAGUGAAGCGGGAAGAGCUCAAAUUUGAAAUCUUGAAAGGUCACCUUUCACGAAUUGUAGUUUAAAGAAGUGUUUUCUGUUACGAUCGUAAUAUAAGUUCUUUGGAAUAGGACAUCACAGAGGGUGAGAAUCCCGUCUAUGAUUGCGAUUUGUAGCUUUGUGAUACACUUUCAAAGAGUCGGGUUGUUUGGGAAUGCAGCCCAAAACGGGAGGUAAAUUUCUUCUAAGGCUAAAUAUUGGCGAGAGACCGAUAGCGAACAAGUACCGUGAGGGAAAGAUGAAAAGAACUUUGAAAAGAGAGUUAAAUAGUACGUGAAAUUGUCAAAAGGGAAGCGUUUAACACCAGUGUUGUCUUCUGAAAAUCAACCUCUGUUAGCUUUAUGCAUGUUUGUUUAGACCUAAUCAGCUAUCUUGCAUGUUCUAUUGUUUGCAGUGGUGCACUUUUCAGUUUACAGGUCAACAUCAGUUUUUUUUACCGUAAAAAAGUUAAAGAAAGGUAGCUCAUGGCUCCGGUCGUGAGUGUUAUAGUCUUUUUCCUAUGCGGUAGGAGAGACUGAGGUCUGCAGUGUAGGCUAUUUGGCUAGAUACUCAGGUGCUAUGUGAUACCAUUUCAUAAACAACUUGUUGAUUAUGUUUUGUCUAUUGCAUACUCGCUUGUACUAUCAUACCUACGCUUAGGAUGUUGACUGAUAUGUAGUCGUA